CCGCGACUUUUAUACAAGUAUCAAAGUUCUAAGUGCGCGCUUAUUACGUUUAAUGAAAAAUUUAUCAAUGCCGCAAUGCCUCUCUCAAACCGACAUACAGAUAUACAUAUAAAAAGUAGGUUGAUAGAUGAGAAGGAACAGAUACGACGGAGUACAUGAGUGUGUGAAUUGUGCGUGAUGUAAUUGCGGGACAGAACAAUUCCAUCUUAAUCGCGCGCGAGAUGAAGUGCAGUGCGGAAACUCCCAGUCAAUUGUAUGGAAACAUUCCAAUCACGCUUGUAUGUGCUGCAUUUGCGAUGCCUUAGAGGUCUUCGGAGAUGACGAGGGACCACUGGUGGAAUCGGCCUUUCACAGCCCAAGACAACGUCAAGGUUCCGCCGAUAAGUACCAAGUUUCUACAUCGUCUGAAUAUCUGGGGAGAAGUCUCGGAGAAGUCAAGAUGCUCGAGAGUCUCAAGUUUUUAUUAUCUGAAAACCUAAAUCGCAAAUAAAUUGUGUGCCGGUGCGGUUCUGGUCCGAUCAAAGACUUAACGCAAAACUGCAUUCAAUAAACCAAAUGCCGCCGAUGUGGCUUAUCGAACUGCCAGAACAGAAAAAUACGUACAUACAGCAUGCUAUAUGGUAUACCGGUAUCUAAAAAGACGGGUUGCAGUUUUGUCCAAUCAAGUGGUCCUAUUGGCACACGUCGUUGGCUCGUAACCAAAGCCAUGAUCGAUCUCUAUUUGUAUCGGCCAGCAAUCGGAUAUUGGCCGAUGAACAUACGAAAAAGAGGAAGGCGUCGACCAAGGUAGCAAAAUGGUAGAUGUAAGCAAGAGAUAUCGCGGCGGGUGUGGUAAUAUUUUACCAAGUUCGUAAAUAAUAUUUGAAAUCGAUGUUAUCUGCGGCUUUACAGAAGUUCAAUAUAGUCUUAUUUUAAUUACGACAUGCUAUUGACGACGGAUCAAAGUAUCGACAAUGGACAUCUGAA
This is a long non-coding RNA of Temnothorax curvispinosus, 966 nucleotides long. RefSeq lists it as uncharacterized. The transcript has 3 exons. Lineage: Eukaryota; Metazoa; Arthropoda; Insecta; Hymenoptera; Formicidae. The record is from RefSeq and is a predicted model, not a curated record.